GGGGUAACGGCCCACCAAGCCUUCGAUGGAUAGGGGUUCUGAGAGGAAGGUCCCCCACAUUGGAACUGAGACACGGUCCAAACUCCUACGGGAGGCAGCAUG
RNAcentral lists this ribosomal RNA (102 nucleotides) under uncultured bacterium. RNAcentral describes it as "partial 16S ribosomal RNA". It matches the Rfam family "Bacterial small subunit ribosomal RNA", at positions 254 to 353 of the family's 1533-position model. The record is from RNAcentral.